This 434-nucleotide ribosomal RNA is filed under the name uncultured bacterium. RNAcentral describes it as "partial 16S ribosomal RNA". It matches the Rfam family "Bacterial small subunit ribosomal RNA", at positions 29 to 507 of the family's 1533-position model. The record is from RNAcentral.
AGCGAACGCUGGCGGCAGGCCUAACACAUGCAAGUCGAACGAACCUUUCGGGGUUAGUGGCGGACGGGUGAGUAACACGUGGGAACGUGCCUUUAGGUUCGGAAUAACUCAGGGAAACUUGUGCUAAUACCGAAUGUGCCCUUCGGGGGAAAGAUUAAUCGCCUUUAGAGCGGCCCGCGUCUGAUUAGCUAGUUGGUUGAGGUAAUGGCUCACCAAGGCGACGAUCAGUAGCUGGUCUGAGAGGAUGAUCAGCCACAUUGGGACUGAGACACGGCCCAAACUCCUACGGGAGGCAGCAGUGGGGAAUCUUGCGCAAUGGGCGAAAGCCUGACGCAGCCAUGCCGCGUGAAUGAUGAAGGUCUUAGGAUUGUAAAAUUCUUUCACCGGGGACGAUAAUGACGGUACCCGGAGAAGAAGCCCUGGCUAACUUCGUG